RNAcentral lists this ribosomal RNA (2812 nucleotides) under hot springs metagenome. Its description in RNAcentral is "bacterial LSU rRNA". The stretch from base 5 to 2067 matches the Rfam family "Bacterial large subunit ribosomal RNA", at positions 15 to 2044 of the family's 2925-position model. The record is from RNAcentral.
CAAAGGGCGCACGGUGGAUGCCUUGGGGCAAAGGGCCGAUGAAGGACGCGGUAAGCGGCGAAACGCCUCGGGGAGCCGCAAACAGGCUUUGAUCCGAGGAUCUCCGAAUGGGGUAACCCGGCCGUCGUAAUGGACGGUCACCCACCGCUGAAUCCAUAGGCGGUGUGGAGGGCACCCGGGGAACUGAAACAUCUAAGUACCCGGAGGAAAAGAAAGCAGAUGCGAUUCCCUUAGUAGCGGCGAGCGAACGGGGAACAGCCCAAACCGAUAGGGUGUCCAAGCGGGCAGCGUUGCCCUGUCGGGGUAGUGGGACCACCAGCGAGAUGGCACCGUCUCGCAGGGAGUGACAAAACCGCCCGUUAGCAGAAGUGCCUGGAACGGCACGCCAUAGAGGGUGAUAGCCCCGUACGCGAAAACGGAGUGGUCUCCCGGUGGGAUCCCAAGUAGCACGGAGCACGAGGAACUCUGUGCGAAUCUGCGCCGACCACGGCGUAAGGCUAAAUACCCUUUGCCACCGAUAGCGCACCAGUACCGUGAGGGAAAGGUGAAAAGCACCCCGGGAGGGGAGUGAAAUAGAACCUGAAACCGUGUGCCUACAAGCAGUCGGAGCCCUAUCCAAAGGGUGACGGCGUGCCUUUUGCAGAAUGAGCUGGCGAGUUACCGUGCGCGGCAAGGUUAAGGCACUCAGUGCCGGAGCCGCAGGGAAACCGAGUCCGAAUAGGGCGUUUAGUCGCGUGCGGUAGACCCGAAACCGCGCGAUCUACCCAUGGCCAGGGUGAAGCGGGGGUAAGACCUCGUGGAGGCCCGAACCGGUGUCGGUUGAAGACGGCUCGGAUGAGCUGUGGGUAGUGUGGUGAAAUGCCAAUCGAGCGCGGAGAUAGCUGGUUCUCCCCGAAAUGCAUUUAGGUGCAGCGUUGCGUGUUUUCUGCCGCAGGUAGAGCACUGGAUGGGCUAGGGGCCUCACCAGGUUACCAAACCCAACCAAACUCCGAAUGGCGGCAGAUGAAGCGCGGCAGUGAGACUGCGGGGGAUAAGCUUCGUAGUCAAGAGGGAAACAGCCCAGACCGCCCGCUAAGGUCCCUAAAUGCGAGCUAAGUGUGAAAGGAUGUGGAGUCACAUAGACAACCAGGAGGUUGGCUUAGAAGCAGCCAUCCUUUAAACAGUGCGUAACAGCUGACUGGUCGACGUGGCUCUGCGCCGAUAAUGUAAGGGGGCUCAAGCUCGCUACCGAAGCGACGGGUUCUCCUGAUUACUCAGGAGAGCGGUAGGGGAGCGUUCUGCAUGCGGUGAAGCCAGAGCGUAAGCACUGGUGGAGCGUGCAGAAGUGCGAAUGCCAGCAUGAGUAGCGAGAAGAUGGGUGAGAAUCCCAUCCGCCGAAAGCCUAAGGGUUCUCAAGGAAGGCUCGUCCUCUUGAGGUCAGUCGGGCCUAAGCCGAGGGCAAUUGCCGUAGGCGAUGGACACACGGUUGAUAUUCCGUGACCAGGCAGGCGCGUUUGUACGAUGGGGUGACGCCGUGGAAAGCUCCAAGCGCGGGGUUGGUUGACCGCGUUCCGUAGUUGGGGGUGUGCGGUAGGCAAAUCCGCCGCACGUUAGCUCCUGGCUACGGACGAGCCGCGGCUACGGCCAAGGCGAAGUGGGGCAGACUGCGGACAAGAAAAACCUCUAAGGAGUGCCUGUCCUGCCCGUACCGCAAACCGACACAGGUAGGUGAGUAGAGGAUACUCAGGCGCGCGAGAGAACUCCCGUUAAGGAACUAGGCAAAAUAGCCCCGUAACUUCGGGAGAAGGGGCGCCACCGCAAGGUGGCCGCAGAGAAAUGGCCCAGGCGACUGUUUACCAAAAACACAGCUCUCUGCGAAGCCGAAAGGCGACGUAUAGGGGGUGACACCUGCCCAAUGCCCGUAGGUUAAGGGGAGGGGUUCGGCGCAAGCCAAAGCCUCAAACCGAAGCCCGGGUGAAUGGCGGCCGUAACUAUAGGAGGGACCCUGUAGUUGUAAAAUCUGGCUGUAUGCUGGGAAGUCUGGGGUAUCCCGAGCUACUCGCCGCGUCAGGCGGAUGAGUGACAAUGCGUCGGGUGCAGACUAUCAGCAGGAAAGGCUCCGGUAUGCUGAACGUCAACAAGAUCCCGCCCGACAUCGGAUAUUACCUGGCUGGCUUCGCCGACGGCGAGGGGAGCUUCUACGUAUCCUUUCGACCGCGUAACGACUACCGCCAGCCGUGGAAAGUGUCGCUCUGCUUUAACAUAUCGGAGAAGGACAGAGUGAUCCUUGCUCUGUUCAAACGGCAUCUGCAGUGCGGCACCCUGCGAAGCCGACCCGAUGGCGUGUGGUACUAUGAGGUGAACAACCUGCACGCAAUCCUCACACACGUCAUCCCGUUCUUUGAGCGGUUCGGCUUCCUGUCGGCGCAGAAAAAGCAAGAUUUUGCCGCUUUCAAGAAGAUCGCAAAACUGAUGGAAGAAGAACGGCAUCUGACCGAAGGAGGCAUCCGCGAGAUCUUGCGGAUACGCAAAAAGAUGAACGAUGGCGGCAAGCGACGUUACAGCGACGCUGAAAUCCUCGCCCGAUUUCAGCGCGGAGAAUCCUCAGAGACUAUACGCCAGACUCUCGCCGGUGGCGAGGGAUGAUAUAGUCCGGACUGGCUGGCGACAGGCAGAGUGGGUAACCAAUCCCACCCCCCAGUUUGGGGCGUAACAAAGCGAACGGUCCUAAGGUAGCGAAAUUCCUAGUCGGGUAAGCCUGGACUUGCCCCUCUGCACCGCAAGGUGCAGUGAAAAACCGGCUCAUAUCGGGGAAGCCCUCUCCGUCCGGAAG